GGGUGCUUAGCUCAGUUGGUAGAGCGUCGCUCUUACAAGGCGAAUGUCAGCGGUUCGACUCCGUUAGCACCCACCA
Molecule: transfer RNA, 76 nt
Filed under: Candidatus Ichthyocystis hellenicum
Lineage: Bacteria; Pseudomonadati; Pseudomonadota; Betaproteobacteria; Burkholderiales
Description: bacterium 2013Arg42i tRNA-Val(tac)
Rfam family: tRNA
About the family: Transfer RNA (tRNA) molecules are approximately 80 nucleotides in length. Their secondary structure includes four short double-helical elements and three loops (D, anti-codon, and T loops). Further hydrogen bonds mediate the characteristic L-shaped molecular structure. tRNAs have two regions of fundamental functional importance: the anti-codon, which is responsible for specific mRNA codon recognition, and the 3' end, to which the tRNAs corresponding amino acid is attached (by aminoacyl-tRNA synthetases). tRNAs cope with the degeneracy of the genetic code in two manners: having more than one tRNA (with a specific anti-codon) for a particular amino acid; and 'wobble' base-pairing, i.e. permitting non-standard base-pairing at the 3rd anti-codon position.
Source: RNAcentral